Molecule: ribosomal RNA, 492 nt
Filed under: uncultured bacterium
Lineage: Bacteria
Description: partial 16S ribosomal RNA
Rfam family: Bacterial small subunit ribosomal RNA
Source: RNAcentral
AGUGAACGCUGGCGGUAGGCCUAACACAUGCAAGUCGAACGGCAGCACAGUAAGAGCUUGCUCUUACGGGUGGCGAGUGGCGGACGGGUGAGGAAUACAUCGGAAUCUACUUUUUCGUGGGGGAUAACGUAGGGAAACUUACGCUAAUACCGCAUACGACCUACGGGUGAAAGCAGGGGAUCUUCGGACCUUGCGCGAUUGAAUGAGCCGAUGUCGGAUUAGCUAGUUGGCGGGGUAAAGGCCCACCAAGGCGACGAUCCGUAGCUGGUCUGAGAGGAUGGUGCGGCAACACGGAACUGAGACACGGGCCAGACUCCUUAGGGAGGGAGGAGUGGGGAAUAUUGGACAAUGGGGGCAAGCCUGGUCCAGCCAUACCGCGUGGGUGAAGAAGGCCUUCGGGUUGGAAAGCCCUUGUGUUGGGAAAGAAAAGCAGCAGGUUAAUACCCCGCUGUUCUGACGGUACCCAAAGAAUAAGCACCGGCUAACUUCGUG